UACGUAGGGGGCAAGCGUUGUCCGGAAUUAUUGGGCGUAAAGAGCUCGUAGGCGGUCUGUUGCGUCCGCUGUGAAAACUCGGGGCUUAACCCCGAGCCUGCAGUGGAUACGGGCAGACUAGAGGUAGGUAGGGGAGAAUGGAAUUCCCGGUGUAGCGGUGAAAUGCGCAGAUAUCGGGAGGAACACCGGUGGGGAAGGCGGUUCUCUGGGCCUUACCUGACGCUGAGGAGCGAAAGCGUGGGGAGCGAACAGG
Molecule: ribosomal RNA, 253 nt
Filed under: uncultured bacterium
Lineage: Bacteria
Description: partial 16S ribosomal RNA
Rfam family: Bacterial small subunit ribosomal RNA
Source: RNAcentral